ACAAUUCCUAUGGACAACCACGAGGUGGCGGCCAUCUUGUUCGCAUGAGCACAGACAGCAGUGUUUGGACAUGAAUCUCAUGGAACUAAAAUCGGACAAAGAAACUCCCAAACAUCUCUGGACUUCCAUCAUCACCUGCGUUCGUUUCUAUACAACUUAGAAGGGCACUGUUCGGUGAAAUUAUUCGUCCGGAUGAGUGGAACAAGCUCCAGGGUAAGACUAUUGACUCUAUUCGGUAGUUUGUUCGUUUUCAAACUACUGAACUAGACCGACCGCAAGCCCUGAUUCUCUGGAACUGUUUUGGGCAGGGGACCAUGCGGGCGUUUUUUUUGGAUAUGUUGGUCACCCAGAUCAGGGCUAUCAGGGGGUGUAUUUUUAUGGUACAUUUGGGGUGUUUUGAAAAAGUAUGCUUUUUCUGUGCUUGGAGAUAAUUGGAUUAGACUUAGUACAGUUACUGAUCCAAUUAUCUCCCAGGCAGAGGGGAAGGAUUGUAUGCUUGUAUAUGGGAGUGUCAUGUAUUUAAACACCUUUGUCAUUGGUCUGUGACUUUGUGCUGCAGUCCCUCACAAGGUCCAGGGGGGAGUGCCCCUUGCAUGGGGACAUGCAUAUAAGGCCAGUUAUGACUGCCAUUAAAGCAUUCCAGCUUGCACUCCAAAACUGUGUGUCGUCCUGUUAUUGGAGGGAAGGAAGAUUUAACCUCUGUUUCUGUUCCAGCUUGCAGGGGAUUCAACAGGGAAAAUCAUUGUAAGGAGUAGAGCUCCCUGGACUGAGUGUCGUUCAGUGCCUGGGUGUCUAGC
Molecule: non-coding RNA, 797 nt
Organism: Pelobates cultripes (western spadefoot toad)
Lineage: Eukaryota; Metazoa; Chordata; Amphibia; Anura; Pelobatidae
Source: the annotation of a GenBank genome assembly